Molecule: ribosomal RNA, 404 nt
Filed under: uncultured bacterium
Lineage: Bacteria
Description: bacterial SSU rRNA
Rfam family: Bacterial small subunit ribosomal RNA
Source: RNAcentral
UGGGGAAUAUUGGACAAUGGGCGCAAGCCUGAUCCAGCAAUGCCGCGUGAGUGAUGAAGGCCUUAGGGUUGUAAAGCUCUUUUACCCGGGAAGAUAAUGACUGUACCGGGAGAAUAAGCCCCGGCUAACUCCGUGCCAGCAGCCGCGGUAAUACGGAGGGGGCUAGCGUUGUUCGGAAUUACUGGGCGUAAAGCGCACGUAGGCGGCUUUGUAAGUUAGGGGUGAAAGCCUGGUGCUCAACACCAGAACUGCCUUUGAUACUGCAUGGCUUGAAUCCGAGAGAGGUGAGUGGAAUUCCGAGUGUAGAGGUGAAAUUCGUAGAUAUUCGGAAGAACACCAGUGGCGAAGGCGGCUCACUGGCUCGGUAUUGACGCUGAGGUGCGAAAGCGUGGGGAGCAAACAGG